UAGAGUACAGGCUGGCCUUAAGGGACCCCUCCCCCUCUGUGAGUGCACGAAUUUCAUGUCCCAGGCCUCUAGUUUAUAAUUGAAAUAGAGUAGAUUAUCUCUUGGCAAACAUGUCAUUGCUUAUAAACACAUUUAUGAGGUGUCUAAUGGUUCAAGACCCCUUAUAACUGUGCGAGGUGUGUGUGUAGAGAGAGAGAGAGAGACAUGUAUUUCAAAAUAUCCUUUCAUUGGGUAUUAAAUGUCUUUUUCAUGUCCAUUCCUUGGUGUUAAACUCAGUAGUCUGGAGCACAGUAAUAGUCUAGUUGCCUACUGAAGCCUAACAGAUCAAUAUCAAUAAUCUUGUUACUUAAUUUAAGCUACUUAAUAUUUCUAGGCAAAUUAAAAUAAUUGGCUUUUUCAAAUCUGUUCUGUCUUUUACUUCAUAGUGGUUUAAAAUAGAAGUGUGGAAGUCAGAUUGCGGUUUGAAUCCUGACUUUGUUAAUAAUCUUUUUUUUUUUUUUUUAACCUCAGUUUCUAAAGAAGGUAAUGUAUAGUACAGUAUAGGUCAGAGUUUCUCAAUAUUAAGUAAGCAUCAGAAUCACCUGGAGGGUUAAUUAAACCACAGAUGUCUUAGUUCCACCCUGAGUUUCUGGUGUGGGGGGAGAACCAAGAAUUUUCAUUUUCAACAGGCUCCUAAAUUUAGCACACAGUGUUUAGCUCCCUAAAGUUUCAGUUGUUUAGUGAAUUUAGUUAUGUGUUUUUCUUUCAGCUUUCUUUUUUGCUUUCCUUUUAUAUGCCACUUUCCUUAAUCCCCAACAAAAUGACAUUGAACCCAUUAUUACAUUUUCCACUUGGGGACCUUGAAAAGAAGUUUGUUUUAGGGGAAAUGAAUGGGAAAGAAUGUUGAAUGUUUGAGGAUUAAAAAAUAUUUUUUUCAUCUAAUUUGACUUUGUUUUAUUUUACUUAAUCUACUCAGAAGUUUUCACCUUUUUUAUAGUAAUUAAGAGCAAAUCUUACAGCCUGUUAUAGAAUGCUUAUUGCAUAUUCUAAAUGUAUUUGUACUUGUACUUAACCAAUGUAUAAAAAAUUUUUUUGUAUCUAAAAGACAUUUCUUUAAAACAGUUUUAAGUGUAAAUUACAAGUGAUCUAAGCUGUGGUACGCUAAUGCUUCAGUGCAUGGAAAUCCUAGGAUUGUUUUUUGAGUUAUUCCUUAAUUACAUAAAAGUCUUGUGGUAAAAAAUAUAUAAGCAUUCCCCUCUGGAGUUGUGUAAUGGAUGGGUGUUGUAAAUUUAUAGCUAGUUGCAUGUAUAAUUUUCUCCUGAAUUAUUGACAUGUUUGGAGUAUGAAGCAGUAGAGGUGACGUUAAUAGAUAUUUUACUUUGUGUAUGUGUAUUGAUAUUGCAAAUGCAAUUGAAAUUCUUUGAAGAUUAAAAGAAA
This is a long non-coding RNA of Pipistrellus kuhlii (Kuhl's pipistrelle), 1416 nucleotides long. RefSeq lists it as uncharacterized. The record is from RefSeq and is a predicted model, not a curated record. Lineage: Eukaryota; Metazoa; Chordata; Mammalia; Chiroptera; Vespertilionidae. The transcript is spliced from 2 exons.